This 1193-nucleotide long non-coding RNA is filed under the name Oncorhynchus kisutch (coho salmon). RNAcentral's name for it is "lncRNA (ENSOKIG00005023409.1)". The record is from RNAcentral. Lineage: Eukaryota; Metazoa; Chordata; Actinopteri; Salmoniformes; Salmonidae.
AACAAUGGUUUGCAGGCACACAGUAAAACAAUCCAUUUGAUAAGCUAAUGAGCUGAGAGUCAUCAGUGAGCAUUGAACUUUGAAUCUUUAAAAUGGAUGAAGUGUACCUUCCUCUACGGAAUGCGAUUUAUCAACAUUCUAAAGCCCACUGCACGCACGAGAUACAUAUUGAUUUAUAUUAUACUACUAGUAGCCUACCAAUGAGAUGCAGUUCUUUAAUAAUGAAAAACGUAUUCCUACUUUAAUAUAGGCGUAGUACGGAAACGGAUUACUUUAAAAAUAAGCAAUGUCGCAAUAACUUGUUUUGUGGGUCUGGUUUAGAGUAUUUGAUUUUGCGACAACAUUGCGUUCUCCGUUUCCGCACUAUGUCCAUAUCGCAAAAACGUUUUUGUGAGUCUCUCUGGUCUCCAGAUACUGGACCUUAUCCUACCUAUCCAGUGCCAUUAAAUCCAUGACAUAAGGAACUUUGAACUGAUGUACUUAGUUAGUCGUAGUUAGACUGACUUACCCGACGUCUAGGCUGCAUGCUGCUCCAUAAGAUUAAAAUAGUAAAAACGUGGAAUUGGCUCAGUGCAAGAAGGAAGUGUUUUUCAGAUUUGUGUCGUAAUGUGAAACUCGAGUUGUUUGACAGGUGCGGCAAGGGAGGGCAAUGUAAUGAUGCCCAAAGAGAGCCUACCAACAAAUGACUCCUUCCUCCCAGACCUGGACAAGCUAGACGUAUGACACACAAACACCAUGCACACUACGUCUCUUUCCUAACGUUUAAAAAAAAUAAGAUAGCCCAAAAACAUCCCCUAGCCUUUAACCCCUUAGCCGAUUGCAUGUCUGAAGGAACCAGAUAGGUGUAAACAAUAUUGCCGAAACUCCCUGUAUCCCGUUGGAAGGCUAGGUGGAGCCGCCUCCAUAUUACUUACACCGGUCCAAUAAUUGCUGUUCUUCAAACACCAAAGGGUUUGGGGCUCAGUGCAAGAAAAUUGGAGUUGUUGUUGGACCUGGCAUAACACUUCUCAUUCAUGUGUCUCAUUCUGACAGUUAAUUUUAUGUCCAGAAGGGAGAGAUAUUGGCUGAGGUUGAUUUGGACCCAACUCCAGUGCCUCACUGUUCCGGUAAGGGUCGAAAAACGAAGCAUUUUGCCACAGUGCAGGUGCUCUGUGGCAACAAAAAAAAGGUGAUUUAUAAGUUAGCAUACUAUU